Molecule: small RNA, 116 nt
Filed under: Caulobacter vibrioides NA1000
Lineage: Bacteria; Pseudomonadati; Pseudomonadota; Alphaproteobacteria; Caulobacterales; Caulobacteraceae
Description: small non-coding RNA
Source: RNAcentral
UUUCGCGGCCUUCGCCCGCACUCGCGGGCGUUCCCCGCCUUCAACACGCCCGCGGCGGACCGCCGCGAAGGCCGCGAUCUCAGGCCGCCUGGACCCCAUGCCAGGCGGCCUACUCU